AGGUGCGAUCAUACCAGCAAUAAUGCACCGGAUCCCAUCAGAACUCCGCAGUCAAGCGUGCUUGGACGAGAGUAGUACUAGGAUGGGUGACCUCCUGGGAAGUCCUCCUGUUGCACCUC
Molecule: ribosomal RNA, 119 nt
Organism: Lupinus angustifolius (narrow-leaved blue lupine)
Lineage: Eukaryota; Viridiplantae; Streptophyta; Magnoliopsida; Fabales; Fabaceae
Source: Rfam